This 253-nucleotide ribosomal RNA is filed under the name uncultured bacterium. RNAcentral describes it as "partial 16S ribosomal RNA". It matches the Rfam family "Bacterial small subunit ribosomal RNA", at positions 524 to 776 of the family's 1533-position model. The record is from RNAcentral.
UACGUAGGGUGCAAGCGUUGGCCGGAUUUAUUGGGUUUAAAGGGUGCGUAGGCGGCCCUGUAAGUCAGUGGUGAAAUCCCAUCGCUCACCGAUGGAACUGCCGCUGAUACUGUCGAGCUUGAGGACAGUAGGGGAGAGUGGAACUCCUGGUGUAGCGGUGAAAUGCGUAGAUAUCAGGAGGAACGCCGGUGGCGAAAGCGACUCUCUGGGCUGUUCCUGACACUGAUGCGCGAAAGCUAGGGGAGCAAACAGG